This 3792-nucleotide long non-coding RNA is filed under the name Leguminivora glycinivorella. Its description in RNAcentral is "uncharacterized LOC125235481, transcript variant X1". The record is from RNAcentral. Lineage: Eukaryota; Metazoa; Arthropoda; Insecta; Lepidoptera; Tortricidae.
AGCAAUGUAACAAUAUUUUUUCAAACCUCGUAGGUAUAUUUUUAUUUAGCUGAUAUUAUACUCAAGUAACUAUUGGUUUCGUACAGGCAGAGCCAUCUAUCGGCAGGAUUGUAUUGAUAACCCAGUUUGCUGUUAGCUAGAAUGACAAAAGAUGGCGUGUCGAUCGUCGUUAAUUUAUUUCCUUCCAAAAUCCCUUUUGAAUUUUCAUUUAUUAAAAAUAAAACUCAAUUUAUUAUUGUAUUGUUAGUUUUCGUUCCUUUUUGGAAAUAUUUUAUUACCCUCUUUAAGACAGAAGUUAAAGUUGUUGUCUAUAGGCGAAUGCAUCUCGUCACGUAUCUGUGGGCCGAGCUGUCAGCCGACACUUUGCAUAUUGGAAAGGAUGUAGACGGGUGGUUUUCAAAUUCUUCAGGGCCAAUGCGCCACAUUCUAAUUUUUAAAUCGCGAAUUAAUCGCAUAAUCAUGAUUUUAAUUUUAUAAAAUUACUGAGGACCCCUUCCAUUGACAAGAUUGCACGGAACCACAAGCCGGCUUCUUUUCUGGAAUGGGUACGUUUCACAUUCGUUCGAGUAAUAUUUUAACCCUCGCUAAGGGUUGGUGGAAGCCUCAGGGUCAUUGUUUUUUUUUAAACCUAUUUCAGGUCCUCAGAUUUGGAGGUUAACGUUCGAAGACAGAGCAGAGCUGAUGCUUCCCGAGCCUGGACCGGUGGACAGGAGGCUGUGACGAUCGGUAUGGAAGAGCUCCCAUUCCGUGGCUGCAGCGGCCACCUCUCCUCAACUCGGUUAGACGUCCCCAAGGUCAGAGCGUUCCUCGUUUUUUUUAAAGGCGCCCAACAUAAAUAAAUUUUUUAAUUAAUUAAUAAUUUACCUUUUACCCGGUCUUCCAGUACCAGAACUACUGACUCACCCCUAUGCUCUAACUUUUAGGUAUUUGUUUUUUUUUAAGUAAAUAAACUGAGCUAGCGAUAUAAUUUACAAUAAGUAGUAUAAUAAGGGUAGUUUCAUUCCCUACCAGUUAGGCGUUACUAAGUAGUGUAUUAUUACUCUCGAAAUUAUUUUCAAAAAGAAAAUUUAUUAAAAAGUUAUUUUCUAUAUAAAUACCUAGUUUACUUUAUUUACCCUUAGGUAAUCCCCGAAAUUGUAACAGUGGCAGCCCUACGUGUGGCUUUAGAGAGUUCAGACUGGAAGACCGUUGGUUGCGUAGGUACCUAUUUAUAAAUUUUCUUAAACAUAGUAUUGGUGAUUAUUUACAUACCUACCUAAGAUUGUUGGCAAAAUCAAUUCCUUACUAAAAAUAAAGGAAAGGUUUCCGUAUUACUUUCUUUGUGUGUUAAAUGUAUAGUACCAUAUAAAUAGAUAAUUAUUACCUCUUGUUAGUUGGUGGGUACCAAAUCUGGUUAUUUUUAUUCAUUGCCAACAGUACUAUAUCUACCUACAAAACCAUUUUGUCUCUUUAUAUUAGUGAAAAGUAAGAAAAAUUUGCUUGUAUUUAAUUCUGAAUAGUACCAAACGCUUGGUACCUACUGCAUUUUGUAAUUCGUAAAUCAGGAUUUUUUUUUACAUUUUGAUGUGAAAGGUGUGACUAGCAAAUUAACUUUAUUUUAUAUUGUAUUUAACUAGACUACAUAUUUUUCUAGAAGGUGGUUAAUUUUAAUUGUUCAUAGUUCUUACCUAAUGAUAAUAGUUGAAGUAAUUUAAAGUACCUACAGCCAGUCGUAAUAAUUGGUGUCUUGUUUUUCUAAAUUACCUAUUUUAUUCUUCCUACCUUAACGAUAUUGAAGUUGGUGUUGUAAAUUUAGUACAAAUAUUUAUGUAGGUAUUUUAAUUGAGUUUUACUACAUAAAGUUAAACAUGUAAAGAGCAUACAGGGUGAUUAGAAAAAAAAAUUAAUAAUAAUAAUUUAACCUAACUUUUAUAUUUAAAUAAUUGGGUGAUUGUUUGGACCUUUUAUUAUUUAAAUUAGUCCAGCGUGCACAUUUAAUAUUUUUCGUGGGUUUCCUUUGUGGUUGAAAAUACUUUAGAAUAAAUAUUUUGUUGUGAAAGUGUUCGUGAUCUAAGUUGUUUACGAGGCGUUAUCUUUAUUACCUACUUUCCGGUGGGUUAGAUUUAACAAGAGUUUUUCCAUAUUGUUGUUACGUUUAAGGAGUAGGUAUUCAUUUAUUAGCAGUUAUCGGUGAUAGGUAGUUUUUUUUGUUUUGAUGUAUAGUAGGCGUUUUUUUUAUGUGUUGGAAGUGGGAGUUAAGUACAUUGUGUCCGGAUGGUACUAAUACGUCCGUACACAAGUAUUACCUUUUCGAUGUUUGGUGGUGAGUGGACGAUUUAAAAGUUCUCUUCACGUAGUUUUCUGGGUGCUGGCGUUUUAAACCAGCAUUUCAGCUUCACUGGCUGGUCGGAUUCUUGCGGAUUUAAACGGAGAAUUCUUAAUAGCAGUGUUGUACCCUUGUUGAUGCUUUGCGAUAUGACUUAAAUCAUAUGCGUGAACGUUGGCGUUCUUUUGUGUUGUCGGACCGACAGACUUGCGUCGCCUGAGACGCGGUCUGUACAGUCAACCCUUGUACUUAUGUCUAAUGUUGUGUCGAAACGUUCCGUCUUGUGUCGUACAUAGACGCAGCCGGUAUAUACGCUUCGUUGUUCUGGUGUUAUUGUCUGUUCUUUGUAUUCUUAGCUGUCACCGAUAUUUGUUAGGGAAAUUUCAUUUAGCUAUAAGCCGUCUUCCGUUAUAUCGCUUGGACGUACAGCCCGCUGUCUGGUAUAGCUCGCUGUGCCGCCAAGAAAUAUAGACGAUGCGACGUAAUGUAGUAAUUUACCUAAAAAAAAAAGGGGCUAUUCUUAUCUGGUUUAGUGCGUGGGUUCGAUUUGGAUGGUUUUUUUGUUAUCGAUUAUAGAUUUCGAGUUGUAGCUGUUAUAUUACCCAUAUUUCCUGUAGUUUGGAGCUGGGGACCAGCUCAAAAUUUUGCCUGCGUCAAAAUUUUCUCUGGGGAGGGGAGUACUGUAACAAUAUUUUUUCAAACCUCGUAGGUAUAUUUUUAUUUAGCUGAUAUUAUACUCAAGUAACUAUUGGUUUCGUACAGGCAGAGCCAUCUAUCGGCAGGAUUGUAUUGAUAACCCAGUUUGCUGUUAGCUAGAAUGACAAAAGAUGGCGUGUCGAUCGUCGUUAAUUUAUUUCCUUCCAAAAUCCCUUUUGAAUUUUCAUUUAUUAAAAAUAAAACUCAAUUUAUUAUUGUAUUGUUAGUUUUCGUUCCUUUUUGGAAAUAUUUUAUUACCCUCUUUAAGACAGAAGUUAAAGUUGUUGUCUAUAGGCGAAUGCAUCUCGUCACGUAUCUGUGGGCCGAGCUGUCAGCCGACACUUUGCAUAUUGGAAAGGAUGUAGACGGGUGGUUUUCAAAUUCUUCAGGGCCAAUGCGCCACAUUCUAAUUUUUAAAUCGCGAAUUAAUCGCAUAAUCAUGAUUUUAAUUUUAUAAAAUUACUGAGGACCCCUUCCAUUGACAAGAUUGCACGGAACCACAAGCCGGCUUCUUUUCUGGAAUGGGUACGUUUCACAUUCGUUCGAGUAAUAUUUUAACCCUCGCUAAGGGUUGGUGGAAGCCUCAGGGUCAUUGUUUUUUUUUAAACCUAUUUCAGGUCCUCAGAUUUGGAGGUUAACGUUCGAAGACAGAGCAGAGCUGAUGCUUCCCGAGCCUGGACCGGUGGACAGGAGGCUGUGACGAUCGGUAUGGAAGAGCUCCCAUUCCGUGGCUGCAGCGGCCACCUCUCCUCAACUCGGUUAGACGUCCCCAAGGUCAGAGCGUUCCUCGU